GGGAACUUGGAGGAGCCGUACUGCCAAGAAAGAGCCGCUCAGGGAGGUUAUUUGUUGCCCGUACCGGAAACCGACACAGGUGGACGAGGGUAGUACCCAAAGGCGCACAAGAGAACCCCUGUUAAGGAACUCGGCAAAAUGCACGUGUAACUUCGGGAUAAGCGUGGCCUCAAGUAGGUGAUGGGGAGAAACCGAAGCUGAAAGAGGUUGCAAAAAAGAGGCUCUGGCGGCUGUUUACCAAAAACACAGAUCUCUGCUAAGACUUAAGUCUAAGUAUAGGGAUUGAGACCUGCCCGGUGCCAGAAGGUUAAAGAAGGGGGUCAACGGGGUAACCCGUGAAGCUCUUGACUGAAGCCCUGGUAAACGGCGGCUGUAACAAUAACAGUCCUAAGGUAGCGAAAUUCCUUGUCGGGUAAGUUCCGACCUGCAUGAAUGGUAUAACGACUGGAGCGCUGUCUCAACAGGGGACUUGGUGAAAUUGAAGUAUCGGUGCAAAUACCGAUUACCCGCAGCUAGACGGUAAGACCCUGUGAACCUUUACUGUACCCUGGCAUUGUAUUCUGGCACGUUCUGUGUAGGAUAGGUGGGAGGCUAUGAAGCGUGGGCGCCAGCUUGCGUGGAGCCAACCUUGAAAUACCACCCUUAACGUGUCGGACUACUAACGGAUGCUGUGGAAGCAUCUAGACAGUGUCAGGCGGGCAGUUUGACUGGGGCGGUCACCUCCCAAAGUGUAACGGAGGUGUACGAAGGUUCCCUCGAGCUGUAUAGAAAUCAGCUGAAAGAGCGUAAAGGUAUAAGGGAGCUUGACUGCGAGAGAGACAUCUCGAGCAGGGACGAAAGUCGGUCUUAGUGAUCCGGUGGUUUUUGUAUGGAAAAGCCAUCGCUUAACGGACAAAAGGUACUCCGGGGAUAACAGGCUGAUACCGCCCAAGAGUUCACAUCGACGGCGGUGUUUGGCACCUCGAUGUCGGCUCAACUCAUCCUGGGGCUGAAGUAGGUCCCAAGGGUUCGGCUGUUCGCCGAUUAAAGAGUUACGUGAGCUGGGUUCAGAACGUCGUGAGACAGUUCGGUCCCUAUCUACUGUGGGCGCUGGAUAUUUGAGGGGAGCUGUUCCUAGUACGAGAGGAUCGGAAUGGACGUACCUCUGGUGCACCAGUUGUCGUGCCAACGGCACAGCUGGGUAGCUAUGUACGGAAGGGAUAACCACUGAAAGCAUCUAAGUGGGAAGCCUCCCCCAAGAUUAGAUAUCCCUUAAGGUUCCAGGUAGACUACCUGGUUGAUAGGUCGCAGGUGUAAGUACAGUAAUGUAUUCAGCCGAGCGAUACUAAUAAACCGUUUGACUUGCCCCU
RNAcentral lists this ribosomal RNA (1349 nucleotides) under metagenome. RNAcentral describes it as "bacterial LSU rRNA". It matches the Rfam family "Bacterial large subunit ribosomal RNA", at positions 1585 to 2925 of the family's 2925-position model. The record is from RNAcentral.